UACGGAGGAUGCAAGCGUUAUCCGGAUUCAUUGGGUUUAAAGGGUGCGUAGGCGGACUAUUAAGUCAGUGGUGAAAGCCUGCAGCUUAACUGCAGAACUGCCAUUGAUACUGAUAGUCUUGAGUUUGGUUAAGGUAGGCGGAAUGUGUAAUGUAGCGGUGAAAUGCGUAGAGAUUAGGAAGAACCCCGGUGGCGAAGGCGACUUACUGGACGAUAACUGACGCUGAGGCUCGAAAGCGUGGGGAGCAAACAGGAUUAGAUACCCU
RNAcentral lists this ribosomal RNA (265 nucleotides) under uncultured prokaryote. Its description in RNAcentral is "partial 16S ribosomal RNA". It matches the Rfam family "Bacterial small subunit ribosomal RNA", at positions 524 to 788 of the family's 1533-position model. The record is from RNAcentral.